Molecule: ribosomal RNA, 468 nt
Filed under: uncultured bacterium
Lineage: Bacteria
Description: partial 16S ribosomal RNA
Rfam family: Bacterial small subunit ribosomal RNA
Source: RNAcentral
GACGAACGCUGGCGGCGUGCUUAACACAUGCAAGUCGAACGGAAAGUCCCUGCUUUUGUGGGGUGCUCGAGUGGCGAACGGGUGAGUAACACGUGAGUAACCUGCCCUUGACUUUGGGAUAACUUCAGGAAACUGGGGCUAAUACCGGAUAGGAGCUCCUGCUGCAUGGUGGGGGUUGGAAAGUUUCGGCGGUGGGGGAUGGACUCGCGGCUUAUCAGCUUGUUGGGGGGGUAGUGGCUUACCAAGGCUUUGACGGGUAGCCGGCCUGAGAGGGUGACCGGCGACAUUGGGACUGAGAUACGGCGCAGACUCCUACGGGAGGCAGCAGUGGGGAAUAUGGUACAAUGGGCGGAAGCCUGAUGCAGCAACGCUGCGUGCGGGAUGACGGCUUUCGGGUUGUAAACGGCUGUCGCCUGUGACGAAGCGUGAGUGACGGUAAUGGGUAAAGAAGCAACGGCUAACUACGUG